CUUUGCAUAAUGUGUGCAAGAAACUAUUAAAACAUUUAUGUUGUUGUCAUCAUAAAAAACACAGAAGGGUUUAGGUUUCUCUUUCACAUAGCUCCCCCUAUCAACAAGCCUGUUUAAAUUUCAGAAAAACGAAACAGAACCACUCUUGCAAUGUUCUUCUUCCCCACGAACGAGUUUUCUCCCUUCUCUCACACACGAGUUUCUUCCUGUGCUUCCAUCUCUGUCGUCGAUGCACUACUGGUUGCCCUUGUCUCGACCUCUCUACACUUUCACCACCGCCAACUAUUGUUGGCCGCUUCCUUCACCACGUUAAUCCCCUCUCUUGGCAUUUCUUUUUCGCACGUGAUAAGAUUUUUGAAACCUCUCCAUUUUUCUCU
RNAcentral lists this long non-coding RNA (377 nucleotides) under Vigna radiata. RNAcentral describes it as "long non-coding RNA (VRAD_LNC004056)". The record is from RNAcentral. Lineage: Eukaryota; Viridiplantae; Streptophyta; Magnoliopsida; Fabales; Fabaceae.